RNAcentral lists this small RNA (418 nucleotides) under Histoplasma ohiense. RNAcentral's name for it is "hypothetical lncRNA". The record is from RNAcentral. Lineage: Eukaryota; Fungi; Ascomycota; Eurotiomycetes; Onygenales; Ajellomycetaceae.
UGUGUUUCGACCUUGGCGAUCUCAUCAUUUCGAGCGCGGAGUAUUUGCGCUGCACGCAGGAGUACCCUGGUUCUUAAAGCAGGCGGAGUCUGGGACCAGGAAGGGAAAGCCCUUCUGGCUGAAUCGAUGGCCGCAUCGAUGUCCCUAUUUGACGAAACUUCCACAUCUGCGAGAACUGAGGCGUUGGAGGGGUCAAUGGACUGGAAAUGCUUGCCAGAGCUUGACUGCUGGACUUUUCCGUCGAAGUAUAGACGUUGUGAAGUGUAGUGAGAGGAGGACAUCUUUUCAGAGGGGACUCCUAACACAGGUCGCUCUGAGAUUCUAAAAGUCGUGAUAGUCACGUGAAAUGACGUAGACGAUUGUGCUUUUGGAGGGGGAAUCGGAUGCCAUCUGUGUGUGACAGGACAGUGUUUGGGGA